ACCCGCAGCCCCAGGACCUGGGGUCGGCGUGGGCCCGGGAAGCCCCCGGGCGGCGAUUACCCCGGGCCGAGCACAGCGGCUGUCCCGCCAAAUCUCUGCCACUCGGGCCCCUGAAUCCGCGGGUACUCGGCUGGGCAGGCUGGGACGCAUGGGCGGCCGGAGGCCGGUGUUUUUCCGUUGAAACCAUAGGCGCUCAAGGUUUAUUGAAAGCCUGUGUGCCUGGCGCGAUGCUCGGUGCCGGAGGAUGAAGUGCUUUCACCUGGACAGGGGCGGAAAACGAGUUUGUCCUGCUCAUCAGUGGACAUAGGAAAAUUCUAGACCCCUGGUCUAGCAUGAGACACAUUUGAGGACAAAUAAUAAAGGGGGAAAAAAAAAUCCCAGAAAGAUGAAGGAAAUGAGAACAGUAGUGUUCAACCCACAAGCCUGUUUGCCUUUGGAGGACCGAGGACCGCGACGACGAUGCUGCCUCCUACUGGCGGAGCUGGGCAAUGAGGCCAAGUGGAGUUUAAUACCCGUCCGCUGUGGGUAUUCUGAACCGAAAUUGGCGCCGGCUGCUCAGGUUACUGCAAAAAUGAGUAUUUUAAGCUAUUUAACAAUUUCUAUU
This is a long non-coding RNA of Eubalaena glacialis (North Atlantic right whale), 604 nucleotides long. RefSeq lists it as uncharacterized. The record is from RefSeq and is a predicted model, not a curated record. The transcript has 3 exons. NCBI's taxonomy places the organism in Eukaryota, Metazoa, Chordata, Mammalia, Artiodactyla, Balaenidae.